RNAcentral lists this transfer RNA (76 nucleotides) under Chloroflexota bacterium. Its description in RNAcentral is "Chloroflexi bacterium (sediment metagenome) tRNA-Glu". It matches the Rfam family "tRNA". From Rfam's summary of the family: Transfer RNA (tRNA) molecules are approximately 80 nucleotides in length. Their secondary structure includes four short double-helical elements and three loops (D, anti-codon, and T loops). Lineage: Bacteria; Bacillati; Chloroflexota. The record is from RNAcentral.
GCCCCUAUCGUCUAGUGGCCCAGGACGAAGCCCUCUCAAGGCUUAAACCGGGAUUCGAAUUCCCGUAGGGGCACAA